RNAcentral lists this long non-coding RNA (204 nucleotides) under Elaeis guineensis (African oil palm). Its description in RNAcentral is "long non-coding RNA (EGUI_LNC072686)". Lineage: Eukaryota; Viridiplantae; Streptophyta; Magnoliopsida; Arecales; Arecaceae. The record is from RNAcentral.
AAGUGGAUCAACUAGUGUCCAUACACUAUUGAUCUCCAUAGACUUCAUCUCAAACUUCAUGGCCUCAAGCCAAUUUUGAGAGUUGGGCCUUUGUAUGGCUUCCAUAUAUGUGAUUGGAUCUUCAUCAUUCUCAUCAAAUUUGAUGGGAUCACCGUUCUAGACCAAGAAAUCAUAGUAUCUGUCUGACUGAUACGAUACUCUAAC